This is an RNA transcript of Varanus komodoensis (Komodo dragon), 2947 nucleotides long. It is a transcript of the gene named glycogen synthase kinase 3 alpha, with no coding region annotated. Lineage: Eukaryota; Metazoa; Chordata; Lepidosauria; Squamata; Varanidae. The transcript is spliced from 10 exons. The record is from RefSeq and is a predicted model, not a curated record.
CCCGAGCCGCCUCAGACGGAGCCAGCCAGCCAGCGCGGCCCCCCUUCCCUUUUCCCCGGUCCCGGCCUCACCAUGAGCAGCGGCAGCGCCGGCUCUUCCCGGCCCCGAACGAGUUCCUUCGCAGACCCGUCCGGCGGGUCUAGCUCCACGGUUAACACCGCGUCCGGCCCGACCUCCGGGGCACCGCCAGGGGGGAAACCCGGGGGAGCUGCCGGGCCUGGGCCGGGGGGAGGCGGGACCAGCACGUCGGUGGGCGCCUUCCCGGGGCUAAAGCUCGGCCGAGACAGCAGCAAGGUAACCACUGUGGUUGCCACACCUGGCCAGGGCCCCGACCGUCCCCAGGAAGUCUCAUACUCUGAUAUCAAGGUCAUUGGCAAUGGGUCAUUUGGGGUCGUCUACCAGGCCCGACUAGCAGACUCCGGUGAGCUGGUGGCCAUCAAGAAGGUGUUGCAAGACAAGCGCUUCAAGAACCGUGAGCUGCAGAUCAUGAGGAAGCUGGAUCACUGUAACAUUGUUCGCUUGCGAUAUUUCUUCUACUCAAGUGGGGAAAAGAAGGAUGAGGUUUAUCUUAAUUUAGUCCUGGACUUCGUGCCUGAGACGGUCUAUCGUGUGGCCCGCCACUUCACCAAAGCCAAGCAGACGAUCCCUGUCAUCUAUGUGAAGGUAUACAUGUACCAGCUGUUCCGCAGUCUGGCGUACAUCCAUUCUCAAGGCGUGUGCCAUCGGGACAUCAAACCACAGAACUUGCUAGUGGACCCUGAUACGGCGGUACUGAAGCUUUGUGACUUUGGCAGUGCAAAGCAGCUGGUACGAGGAGAACCCAACGUUUCGUACAUCUGUUCUCGCUACUACCGCGCUCCAGAGCUCAUCUUUGGGGCCACUGACUACACCUCAAACAUAGAUAUCUGGUCUGCAGGCUGUGUGCUGGCAGAGCUGCUGCUGGGGCAGCCCAUCUUUCCUGGGGACAGUGGAGUGGACCAGCUGGUGGAGAUCAUCAAGGUGCUGGGGACACCAACGCGAGAACAGAUCCGAGAGAUGAACCCAAACUACACGGAGUUCAAGUUCCCCCAGAUCAAAGCACACCCCUGGAUAAAGGUGUUCAAGCCCCGCACCCCGCUUGAGGCCAUUUCGCUGUGCAGCCGGCUGCUGGAGUACACGCCGGCCACCCGCCUCUCCCCGCUCGAGGCGUGCGCCAACAGCUUCUUUGAUGAGCUGCGGGAGCCCAACGCUCGGCUGCCCAAUGGCCGGGACUUGCCCCCGCUCUUCAACUUCAGCCCCGUGGGUAAGUGGCCGAGAGGUGGCGUGGGGGCGGACACGGGAGUGGGGCGCAAGCAGGGGCGUAUUUCACACGUCAAGCGAGGUUUGGGGAAGUGCAACAUGUGCCAGGGAAGCCUUGGGUGGCGCUCCUUCCUGGACAUGCCCCCGUUGAGCUGGGAGUCCCGCGAACGCUGCGAAUGGCUCAGCCACUGCCGCCUCCUACUCCCCUGCAACGCUUUCGCCCCUUUUGCUUCUCAGGCUCCCUUAGCAUUUGUGGUCUUCUGUUUGGGUCACUAGUGUAAAGUCAAGGUGGGGAAUACGUGACCCUGCAGUUGUCAUCGGACUGCCGCUUCCUUCAUUCCUCCACAUUGGCUAUGCUGGCUGGGGCUGAUGGGAAUUGUGGUUGCACCGCCUCCGGAGGACCCACAUGUUCUUCAUCCCUGCUGUGAAGCUGUCGCCCAGAGCAUGGGCCGCCUUGGAUUCCAUGCAUUCUCUUCGGGGAAGGGCCAGGGCAGUGCAGUGCAGUCCUUGCAGGGGUUGGACUGGGCCCAGAAGUGCCAAGUUCUAGUUCUGGUCCCCACUUAGCCAUGGCCGUGGGGCCGUGGGCCAGUCAUUGACACUUCAUCUAACCUGCCUCACAGGGUUGUUGUGGGAAGACUGUGCAAGCCGCCUUGGGGUUCCUUGCAAGAGGAAAAGGCGGGGUAUAAAUGUAAUAGAUAAAUGUGGGUUGUUCUGUGCUGUUUGCCCCGACUUCCCUUAUAUACAUACAUAUGCACGAGUGGACUCCAGUAAGUAGACACAGGAUGAACAUCAGUUAAACAGCCGAGGGAGGAACGAAACGCUGCAUCCGAAGUUCUGAAAGGCUGCCUGACCCCGGUGUGGUCAGCUCUUGCCACACCCUGCCGUGCCUCCGUCGUGCUGACCCAGUAGGACGAACCAGUUGCGGCUGAGCCUUCCAUAUCCACGCCUCUCCUUGUGCCGAGACAAAGAGCUGGCAGGCGUUCUGGACUGGGGUGGAGGAAGCUACAAUGAAAAAGAAACAUGGAUGCCAAGUAGCGGGAAGAGCGAUACCAGCUGCAGCGCUGCUCCCCCCCCUCCCACCAAGCUUUCAUGUUUGUUUGUUCCAGCUUCUGUUCCCCAUCCUUGCAUGGCUGUUUCUGCAGUGUUUUUGCAUUAACUUAGAUAGCUUAUUAAAUACACCUAAUUUAUGUUGGUAACUUUGCAGGAACUAAGGGAUCCCCGUUACAGAUCAGUAAAGUCUUUUUCCUGUGAAGAAGAUUUAAGCAUUCUGGGGGCCCUUGUGUUUCCCUGCUUAUUUUACCACCUGUGUCUUAAGUUUGAAAUAGAACCUCAAAAUGGAGGCUUCUACUUCUCCAUCUCGAAGGGGCCAAGGAGCUGUCAGGAGAGACUGACGAAAGGUCUGCGUCCCAUCCCAUCCCAUCCCUCCAGCCAACUUGCUUCCUCUGUAUUAGAUGCAGGAACAACGAUGGUCCGUUACCAAGGCGCCUGUGUGACUAGUCCUGUCUCCCUUCCCUUGCAGAGCUAUCCAUUCAGCCGGGGCUGAAUUCCAACCUCAUUCCACCACACGUUCGGUCCCAGGCUGGCUCAGUGGGAUCCGUGUCUGGCUCCACAUCUGCACACAGUGAGGGAAGAAUGGGAACUGACAGGAGCCAGGUGACGCCGGGAGAUG